This 253-nucleotide ribosomal RNA is filed under the name uncultured bacterium. RNAcentral's name for it is "partial 16S ribosomal RNA". It matches the Rfam family "Bacterial small subunit ribosomal RNA", at positions 524 to 776 of the family's 1533-position model. The record is from RNAcentral.
UACGAAGGGUGCAAGCGUUACUCGGAAUUACUGGGCGUAAAGCGUGCGCAGGCGGUUCGCCAAGUCAGGUGUGAAAUCCCCGGGCUUAACCUGGGAAUUGCGCUUGAAACUAGCGGGCUUGAGUGCGGCAGAGGGGGGUGGAAUUCCACGUGUAGCAGUGAAAUGCGUAGAGAUGUGGAGGAACACCGAUGGCGAAGGCAGCCCCCUGGGUCGACACUGACGCUCAUGCACGAAAGCGUGGGGAGCAAACAGG